Molecule: transfer RNA, 63 nt
Filed under: Sinoluperus subcostatus
Lineage: Eukaryota; Metazoa; Arthropoda; Insecta; Coleoptera; Chrysomelidae
Description: tRNA-Pro
Source: RNAcentral
CAGAUAUUAGUUUAAUAAAAUAUUAAUUUUGGAGAUUAAAGUUAAGAGUAAUUUUAUAUCUGA